RNAcentral lists this ribosomal RNA (684 nucleotides) under Cymatodera californica. Its description in RNAcentral is "eukaryotic LSU rRNA". It matches the Rfam family "Eukaryotic large subunit ribosomal RNA", at positions 651 to 1284 of the family's 3401-position model. Lineage: Eukaryota; Metazoa; Arthropoda; Insecta; Coleoptera; Cleridae. The record is from RNAcentral.
GUCUUGAAACACGGACCAAGGAGUCUAGCAUGUGCGCGAGUCAUUGGGAACAACUAAACCUAAAGGCGCAAUGAAAGUGAAGGUCCGCCUCGCGCGGACCGAGGGAAGAUGGGCGGACCGUCCCUAACACGCCCGCCCGUCCCGCACUCCCGGGGCGUCUCGUUCUCAUUGCGAGAAGAGGCGCACCAAGAGCGUACACGCUGGGACCCGAAAGAUGGUGAACUAUGCCUGGUCAGGACGAAGUCAGGGGAAACCCUGAUGGAGGUCCGUAGCGAUUCUGACGUGCAAAUCGAUCGUCGGAACUGGGUAUAGGGGCGAAAGACUAAUCGAACCAUCUAGUAGCUGGUUCCCUCCGAAGUUUCCCUCAGGAUAGCUGGCGCUCGUCGCAUACGAGUCUCAUCCGGUAAAGCGAAUGAUUAGAGGCAUUGGGGUCGAAACGGCCUCAACCUAUUCUCAAACUUUAAAUGGGUGAGAUCUCCGGCUUGCUCGAACCACUGAAGCCGCGAGAAACGGAUCAGAGUGCCAAGUGGGCCAUUUUUGGUAAGCAGAACUGGCGCUGUGGGUUGAACCAAACGUCGAGUUAAAGCGCCUAAAUCGACGCUUAUGGGAUACCAUGAAAGGCGUUGGUAACUUAAGACAGCAGGACGGUGGCCAUGGAAGUCGGAAUCCGCUAAGGAGUGUGUU